CGGAGGAGGAGGGGAAAGGUCAUGAGGCCUGACUGGGAAGCUUGCAGUGAGGGUUGUCUUCCUGGGAAUCCCCUGGGCAGUGGUGGUGACCCUGGUGUGGGCAUGUUCAGGAUCCCACCGGAGGGGGCCCUCAAAGUUUGGACCCCCAGUGUGGACCGUCGGGACCUAACUCUUAACCUCCAAUAUGGGGAUGCUGGGGUCUAAUGGGAGGCUUCUGCUUGGAAUCCUGGAGACUUCGGUAUGGAGCUCUUGUAGGACCCUCCAUGUUUAGCCUCAAGAAUGAAUCACGAAUCUCAAGUUCCGAAAGGGAGCUCUUCCGAAUUUGAAUUUCUCUUCAAGUUCCAGUUGGCAUCUGCAGCUUUGUCCAGCUCUGGACAACGCUGAUCCAGAUGUCAUGGUCAAGGGGAUGCCUUCUUGUGGACCCCUUCUUGGGGACACUCCAGUUCUGAGGGUGGAGGGAUGCUUCUGCAGAGUGCAGAGGCAAGGAAGACAGAGCGCUGAGAAGGCAGGGACCUCUCAGUCUUGUGUGUGGCCUUUGGCUGAUGCUGAGAUCUUUGGAGGAGGCUCAAAUUCAUCAUUUGAUUCCAGAAUAUUAAAACUUCCAAAGAAUGCAACUUGUAGAUAAUCUAUGGUGGGUACAGACUGCAGCAUAUUUCCAAAGACGGUCCUGAGUGGGCAAGAAGGAUAUCACUGAAGACAUGGAUGAUUGGAGAAAAUCAAUAUCAGCCUGAAAUUGCAUUUGGAGACCAGCCAUAGCCUGGGUAGAUUGGGGUGGAGAAGGGGGGAGGAAGGGUAAUGUGUUAUAGGAGCAACAGCUGCAUACAGGCUUUCUUGACAUUUGGCUCAGAUUGAAAUGAAUAAAACCAACCUCUUAGAGCUGAAAAUGACUGAGGUAUUUUUCUAAUCUCUAUCCCCAGCUCGAAACUUUACCCCAGAAAAAAAGUUCUUUAGUUUCCCUUUAUGAUCCAUGCAAGAGUUUUAUAACUUUUUAUUACAGAUUUUUGCUCAGAUCUAAUUGACUUGCAGUUUAGAUAACAGAUUCAUAGACAAUUAGGAAGAUCUUAUAUCCUUUUAGUACUAUAUUUAACUGAAGUCCUCAAAGGGGGAGUGACCUAAUCAUGUCUUAAGAUAUAAAACCUAAAAGGUUUGCAGAAUACUUUUUCAAAAGAACCCUGUAAGGUGCAGUUAUUAUCAUUAUCA
Sarcophilus harrisii (Tasmanian devil) is the source of this 1200-nucleotide long non-coding RNA. RefSeq lists it as uncharacterized. The record is from RefSeq and is a predicted model, not a curated record. Lineage: Eukaryota; Metazoa; Chordata; Mammalia; Dasyuromorphia; Dasyuridae. The transcript has 2 exons.